Oncorhynchus kisutch (coho salmon) is the source of this 1741-nucleotide long non-coding RNA. RefSeq lists it as uncharacterized. The record is from RefSeq and is a predicted model, not a curated record. Lineage: Eukaryota; Metazoa; Chordata; Actinopteri; Salmoniformes; Salmonidae. The transcript is spliced from 4 exons.
AUUCAUUGUAUUGUGGUAAGUGUGUUAGGAUAAAGGCAGGAAGUUGGGCCUUCGGGGGAGGGAGUCCUUGCUAGAUGCGGAAGUAAUCUAUGCUUUAAGUUGAUUGGAGAAUCAUUUAUUUGUUAGAUAUAAGAAGAAUAAACAUUUUUGUUGCACCAUAUCCCUGGAUGUCAUUGAAUGUUUGGCCGUUUGGAAACCUUGAGUGUGGACUGUAUGCGUACCAAACAACGCCGCUUCAGGCUUGGGCAGUGGCUAUGGUAAAAAGGAAAGGAAGCCACUACAUUCAGGUCAAAAAACUCCGUGAAGGAUUACUAUCGGAAGGAAAUCUCCGGUUCGGACCCACGCUGGAUAUGGUUCUAUUUCUAAUUGCAUUCGGAUCGUAAGGACAGCUCGCUUGGAAGGAAUUGAACUCCUAGAAUUCGCCAGACGGUGUGUACGAGGAGCUGGCACAGAUGGCAACGGACUGAUUUCCCGCUCUUCCACACUCCGCCGACCAAGCCCCCCCCCCCCCAAAGAAUCUUGGUUUCUGUGGCCGCGGUCCCCGGCGUCAUCGCUGUCCUUCCACCUUCCCUGGUGUCUCCUUCCAAGGAAGGGUCUCACAACCUCCCAUGAUCUCCUCCCAGGUCCAAAACUGGUGGGAUAUUCUGUCACGAACAUGAGGAGAGACGGACCAAGGCGCAGUGUGAGAGGCAGUGUGAGCGGACUGACUCUGAAGCUAAUCAAGGCAUCAGUGACGGAGAUGCUGGAUACUGUCUGAUGACGACUAUGUCAACGUGGCCAGGUCUUUCUUCAAUCUCUCUUCUGCUCUGUCCUUCUCUCUCCUGCCCUGUCCUUCUCUCUCCUGCCCUGUCCUUCUCUCUCCUGCCCUGUUUCAGUUUAAUGAGAAGGCAGAGGCAGUGGUCCCUUGCUUUAAACACCUGGUCCAGGCCAACGUUCCCAACAAGAAGAUCUUCAAAGAGACUGUGCAGAUCAUGCAAGCUAAAGGCACCACAAGUCUGGUUUCCACUUUGCCUUCAAUCAGCUACUAAAUGUAAAUGACUCAAAGCUCAACACUCUGAAUGACCGCACUAUGGACUAGUGAUGCCCAAUUCUUUGUUACUACUAUAAAUUACAUUUAAUUAUAGAUAACAGACCAGUAGAACAUAUAACAGUGGCUCUCUAGGAGUAGACAGUGUUAUAUAUGGAAUGGGUGAUCCUGUUUGGCUUAGUUGGUAAGAGUGUAACAGUUGUUAAAGUACUAUGUGAAUUUCACCAGGUUCAUAUACUAAUAUGUCGUGUUGAUUUGUUAUUAUGCAUGCUUGCAUCCUGGGAGAAGGGGAGUGUGUACUCGUGCUCACAUCAUUUUGAUGCACUGAGAGAGGUAGGCACGCUUUCUGUCUUCACAAAAGUUUGAUUAUUUUAAGUACAAAGUCAUACACACAGUGUUUUGUUCAUGAAUAAUUAUGUAUAUUUAGAGGUCACUCGUAAGUGGAUGCACUUGUAAUUGUACUUUUUAGGAUGAUCUCAAAAUUCUGAAUUCAACAUAUGGUUAAUAGCUAGUUAAAGUAUUAGCAGGCUAUUGUAUGUGUGAACGAUGGCUAGCUCCUCGAAUGAUCCCAGUCCCUCCUAUUGUGCAUCUGUUGUAGAAAGAGGCGACGAUUCGCAGAACAUGUGUGCUCUACAAACGUUUUAUUUCCUUUUGGAUGCAGAUGCACGAUGCAGAGAGUGAGUUCUGCUUCAUUAAAACUACCUGAUCUGCAAA